This 393-nucleotide ribosomal RNA is filed under the name uncultured bacterium. RNAcentral describes it as "partial 16S ribosomal RNA". It matches the Rfam family "Bacterial small subunit ribosomal RNA", at positions 523 to 918 of the family's 1533-position model. The record is from RNAcentral.
AUACGGAAGGUCCGGGCGUUAUCCGGAUUUAUUGGGUUUAAAGGGAGCGCAGGCAGAGAUGCAAGCGUGACGUCAAAUUUCGGGGCUCAACCCCGUCUCGCGUCGCGAACUGCGUCCCUUGGUUGCGGGAAGGGGAGGCGGAACUCGUGGUGUAGCGGUGAAAUGCAUAGAUAUCACGAAGAACUCCGAUCGCGAAGGCAGCCUUCCGGCCCGUCAACGACGCUCAUGCUCGAAGGUGCGGGUAUCAAACAGGAUUAGAUACCCUGGUAGUCCGCACAGUAAACGAUGGACACCCGCGGUUUGGCCUGUAUGGCUGAGCCGCCAAGCGAAAGCGUUAAGUGUCCCACCUGGGGAGUACGCCGGCAACGGUGAAACUCAAAGGAAUUGACGGGG